This 61-nucleotide transfer RNA is filed under the name Paurocephala sauteri. RNAcentral's name for it is "tRNA-Thr". Lineage: Eukaryota; Metazoa; Arthropoda; Insecta; Hemiptera; Liviidae. The record is from RNAcentral.
GUUCUAAUAGUUUAAACAAAAAACAAUGAUCUUGUAAAUCAUAAAUGUAAUUCUUAGAAUU